Molecule: long non-coding RNA, 5178 nt
Organism: Varanus komodoensis (Komodo dragon)
Lineage: Eukaryota; Metazoa; Chordata; Lepidosauria; Squamata; Varanidae
Exons: 3
Source: RefSeq, a predicted model, not a curated record
GAGAAGGGAAGAGAAGGCGAUAAGAACACGAAAGAAUUUCAGCUGCUGGCUGCUGCUACUGUUCUAGGAGCAUUUGAGCUAUUUUCAGCACCCAAUGGGUUUGUCUGCAGUAAGAGAAACUAGAAAAGUACAGAGGCAGGAAACUCACAACAACUUUGCUCCCUCUUCAGUUUCCACACAUUUGCAAUAUGAAGAAAAAUCCAUUUGCAGACCAUUUAAAGAAGCCGUUGCCUAUUUACGCAAUAAACUGACCUUGAUUGCUUUCAUUUUCCUUGGACCCAGUGGCCAGCCUGGAAAAAAUAUGUAAUUAUUAUGCCUCCUUUAACAGUAUCAACCCAGUUUUUCAGAACCAGGAGCUUUCCCAGCCCUAUACUUUAUUUUGUAUCCAAGGGGUUUGGUUCUGUUUGGUGUCCGUGCCCAGUGACAAACACAGCUUCCUGAGAGAGUAGCCAGAAGUUUAUUUCCAGUUUGCUACUCAGAUUUUGGAAUCGACAACCCUGCUAUUUUGGAAUGUUAGAGACCUAAAACUGCUGACAUUGUAGUGCUUAUCUGACAGUGGAAUCCAGGAGCCAAUCAGGAUUGCAGUUACUCACUGGCUCGCUUGCAUGGGAAAGCAACUGGUGCUCUCUUCGGGUUAGGUUAUCACAGAAAAGAUAUUCAAUGAGCCAUCAAUUUCAUUAGAGCACAUUGUUGAUAACUAAGCCUAUAUAGUCCUUCAAGUACUCAGUGUGCUUAAUAUCUCUGUUUUAAGAGAUCUGACAUAUCUUUUAUCCUUUCACUUUGUGAUUUGUGAACCAGCUAGAAAAAACUUCAGAUAUUGGAUGGUAUAGAAAUAUAGUAAAUACAUACACACACAUAUGUGAUUUCAUUGUAAGAACUUUGUAAAAUACAUAUUAUUAUUAUUCCUAUUUGGUUGAUGGCUCUGAUGGCUAGGAAUAAUGGGAGUUCCAGUGUAACACUUCUAAAGGGCACUGGAUUGGGGAUUGCUUUAGAUGGGCAGAAAAAAUCCAGUGCCAUCUUCAUAUCACUACAGUUAAUUUUAUAGUGCCCUCCACAGGACUUUUAUUUCCACUUGAUUCAACAACUAGCAAUCUAAAGUUAAUGUUUUGCGCCUAAGCUAUGAAGAACACAUGACUGUGAGAUAUAUAUGUAAACACAUUGCUAUAUCUUUAAAUCUUGUGCAUAUUUCCACUUAAUUGGCCAUAAUUCAUUACAGGAUAAAUUCACCCCAUAUCUUCCUAUAUCUUUGCACUGAAUGAACAAGAGUAUCAUUUGGAUAGAGGGAGAAAUGUUCUGCCACUGCCAGUAACACACAGUCAAACAAAGAAAACCUGCACAGUCAAGUUCCAAAAAAAGAAAGGCACUUAAUUAGUUUCUUAAGAUUUCCUAGAUAUUUCAUUCAAGUAUGAAAAACCCUACCUCUCUGAGAAGAAAGAUCCCCAGAGAUUUCUCUUACUGCUGCCCCUACUAAAUAUACCUGACAUUUAAAAUAAUACAUUACUAAUGGAUUAGUCCUACACAAUGGUGCACUGACAAGGCAGGAAAUGUGAUCAGAUGGGUAUGAAGGGUCCUCCCACUGCUAUUAUUUGUGAUCCUACCCAAGCACCAGGGGCAAGAAUCAGAGAGGGUCCAGCACCCACCAUCACUGCUGUGCUGCUGGAUGUUUCUUUAUUUUUACACACCCCGGGGGGAGGGGGGAUGGUCAUUUAACAGUGCAGCAUCCAAGUAGCGCAAAUAGGUUCUGCAACCAGGUACAGCGGUCCUGUUGGUGGGUGGCUCAGCUUUCCAGGUAAGUGGUUUUUGCCCUGUUCUGGACGGGGCUGCAUUCCCCCUACAGGACAGGAUAUGUAGUCUGGGAGUGCUUCUUGACCCAGCAUUAUCCUUGGAGUUCCAGGUGAUCGCUGAGGGGAGGAAAGCUUUCCACCAGCUUCAUUUGGUCCAUCAACAUGGAUGACCAGAGCCUGGCAACAGUGACCCUUUUCUCAAUUGGACUAUUGUAAUGUGCUCUACGUGGGGCUGCCCUUGAAGACAGUCCAGAUACUUCAACCAGUCCAGAACAGAGCAGCCAGGUUUUUGACAGGGACUGGUAGGUAUGCUCACAUCUGCACUGGCUACAAGUUUACGUCCAGGUCCAAUUUAAAGUUUUAAUGAUGACGUAUAAAGCCCUAAAUUGUUUAGGGCUUAGGUGCUAGGGUCUUCUUUAAACACCUGCCUGCCCCUUAAGAUCCGGGUCUGAGGUCCUUCUUUGGGAGCCCUCUCUGAAGAAGAUCCAAAGAGUGGCUACCUAGGGAAGGGUCUUUUCUGUGGUGGAGCCCUGGCUUUGAAAUCUGCUUCCCAGAGAGGUGCGCCAGACUAAAACCUUUUUAUUUUCCCUGCAUUUUAAGAUUUAAUUGUGAUUUUAAUACUGGGUUUUAUUAGGGUUAUACUUCAUUGUGUGCUGCCUCUUUGUUUUGUUCUGUAUCACUGUCCUGAGACUCCUGUAAAGGAUGGGAUAAGAAUGCUUUAAAUAACAACCACCACCACCUUCCUAUUAAUCAGUCUCCUGUUCUGAUGGUGAGAAGAAUGCUACUGCCUACUUGCUCACUUGCUUUCUCUCAGUGUCAGGCAAAUGGUGGCAGUGCUAAGAAAACAGAUGCAAAGGAACAGAAGCUGGUAACAGUGUCAGAGUGAAGGUAGAAUGAAAGAGAAUGAAGAAAGUGGCGCAGGGAGGUGUCCUACCCAAGGAACCACCAGAACCUGGGGCUGGUGCUUCUAGUUACUUUGAAGAAACCAGCCCCUUCCUACCAAAAAUCCUGCAUUUUGUUGCUCCACUUGGCUGUUUCAGGUUUUGUCUGCAACAGAAUAUAAUGAGAUACUGCUACUCACAUUCCAGCCAGACAGAUGCAAGGAAAACCAAAUGUGUGCUGCUUUGCAGAACUAUAGCUAUUUUUUGUCCUCCAAAACAGGGUUCUCAAGCAGACAGACUGGCUAUCCUAUGAUCCCUCCAUUUACCAGCAGCACAAAAUUCAGUAUGGCAAUUUAAUAAUUUUGCUGUAAAGCUUACCAUCACUUUGAAGCAUUUAGUAAGCUUGUUAAGUAGUGUUACUUUACUCUGUAUUAAUCAUUUAUGGCAGCUACCCAGUGAUAAUUCUCUGCCUUGCUUGCUUUCAAGAAACACAUUAAUAGGUUGUAAAUAUUAUUAAAAAUAAUACAGCCAGUCUCUGUCUCUCUAGGCCAUACUCAAUUAACUCUAAAAGCCUAUCAAGCAAAAAAAAUAGAUUUGAAAAAGGAAUUCAGAAACCUCAUAUUGAUAUUUUGGCUACUGUCACAGGUUUAGUGCAUUAUAAUUUUUCAGCAAUAUUAUUGAUACCAUUUGCUAUUUUUGCUACCAGUACUGGCAUUUAUACUGACAUAUGACAAGUGCUUUGGAAAGUAUUACAUCUAUCAUACAUACAUUUGCCUAUCAACUGUUUUUAGCCAUAAUAGCUAAAUGGAAAUAUGGUUUCCACAAGCACACUUUUCUGUGCCAGAUGCCAGGGACAAACAACAGUGCAACACCAUCACCUUCACACACUGCCUGAGAACCCCUCGGAGCAUCUGACUGGCCAUUUGGUUGGGAUCUAGACAUUUGGUUAGAUGCCCUUUCUAUAGAUUCCCAGGUAGCUUUCCUUAGGUUCCCAAAGUACUGGCUUGUAGCCAGUCUUACCCUAACUAAGGUUCCAUUCAUGUCGAUAAUCUACUCUAUGUAGGUCUACAACCCAACAGCAGCAUUUCAGCAUGAGACCAGACAAACAUUUUCCAUAACAUCUCCAUAACCUUCUGGAAUACCUUCACAUAUUUGUGUUCAAUGCCAGUUUUACACUAACAUCAAACCCAUGGACUGGUCAGAGUCCACCUUCCAAGAUGGCUUGCUGCUGAUCCCAGCACCAGCUCUUUACAGUACAUGAACACGUAAAUCUUAUAGCUCCAACUGGAGCAAAGGCGGCUGAGUAAGAUGUUCUUGAAAAGGUGACCAAAGGAAGAAUUCAAGAAGGUAAUUUGGAGAGAUUCAUGUAACCUAUAGGGAACUACCUACCAAAAAAGAGAGGAAAUGAGUCCCUGCGGAUUUUAUUCCACUAGCUGAAACGGCAGUAGGGAGCAUUGCUUAUCUCCAUUUCAAAGGCCAUGAGCCAGCACUUUCCGAAGACAUUCCUGGUCAUGUACGUAGCCAGCUUGACAUCACGGGGCUCUGUUUCCUCCCUACAGGAGUGGUACAUACUGAAAGGACUCUAUAAUUAUUCUUUUUCACAGAGAAAAGCAAAAUACAGAUACCUGCAGAAUUUUUCAUUCUGCAUCGAUCCUUAUAGUUUGGUGGACCUAAUUUAAAAAUGGUUCCACGUGCUGGAAAUUGCUAUCCAAGGCAUUCAUCCCCCCAACACCCCCUUUCCCAGUACUACCCUAGAUAGAAAUACAGACAAAUAUGGUUUAGGUUUCUGGAUGACAAGGCAUUUUUGAUUUUUUCCAGCCCUUUUUUCAUGUAAAACAAAAUGGUAAAGAAUACAAUGGGUGCAACCCAAAAAAUAUUAGGCAAAGUGGUUAAGGGGAGUAUGGGCAUUGAUUGGCCAUAAUGCUCCCUUUAUGUUACUGGGAUCCAGUACACAUGCAGCAGGAAGCCAGAAGUUCUUAAAGCCAGAAAUGAGCCAAAACAUUAAGUCUCAGGAUAGGUCAGCUCAGCAAGCUCACAAAAGGAAGCAAUGCUGACCUGUUUUGUUCUGAAGCAAGCAUUUUGACUUGUUUACAUGGUUGCUUUAGGAAGUACGAGUGGUCAGUUGCGUAGGCAGAAUAGAAUGAGCAGCAAUGCAAGGGCAGCAUUAGAGACAGCCUGUUUAUCUUAACUGUAAGGGCAUUGUAAAUUACGGCCAGCAGGGUUCAAGUAUUCCAAGAUUUCCUUGGACUGAAUCCACAGUUUCUGUAACAAGAUAGGCAUACCUCCAUAUAAUAAUGGAUAGAAAUAUUUAGCAGGAAACAGGAUACAAAGCCAGAUUCUUUACAAAUGCAGAGCCACCUAAAAGUAAUUUCCCAGAGUAGUGGGAAACUACUGUGGAGCACUGAAUUUUGGUUCGAUUGCUGUGUGUGCACACACACGGCUGCUGCACUGAUGGCACUAUGACAAGAAUUCUUAUGCAUGGUCUCACAUACUGUAGUCAUGGGUGACAACAA